Molecule: long non-coding RNA, 643 nt
Organism: Octopus bimaculoides (California two-spot octopus)
Lineage: Eukaryota; Metazoa; Mollusca; Cephalopoda; Octopoda; Octopodidae
Source: RefSeq, a predicted model, not a curated record
AAGCUUACAGAUAACAUGGCCAGUCCAGUGACCUUGGUUCUUUUGCAGCAGGGUGUGUAGUAUUGAUAGAAGUUUCACUUACUGGAGUGCUUCUGUGUCUGGAACCUUGUGCUGUCAUUUAAUGCGGAACAAUCUUGAGAUUACAUGCGGUGUGAAAGUGAUUUAGCCAUCUGGCAUGUUCACUGUAGACAGUCAAUGUCUUGCAGGCAUAAAUAAGCACUGUGAGUGCAACAGCUUGGUGAAAAUACUAAUACUCCUAUGUUCCCAAAUAUUAGCUUUCCUAGAAUUGACCUAAUUAUUACGACAAACACAUCUGAGAGAAGCCAAAGGUUUUCUCUGGAUCAAUCACUGGUUCACUGGAUUUAUGAUGGUGAUAGUGACAAUGGAUUAUCUGCACAAACUCAGCUGAAAGAAAUGCCACAAGGAGCCUUGUUCAAAUAUACUGAGGAAUAAUACUUUCAACUGCACCCCAUACUAAGCAUCAAACAAACAAGAAAUAUUGGAAAGAGAAAUGUUUGAAAGUUACAUGAUAUAUUCUUAGUAAUAUCAGCAGCAUGAGAAGAGUGAUUUAUUCCAACUGAAAAUUGAAACAGACUUUUAAACUCAAGUGAGCUAAGAAUUUAACAUGUUACUCUUGAGUAUU